CAGCCGCCGCGGUAAUACGAGGGGGGCAAGCGUUGUUCGGAAUUAUUGGGCGUAAAGGGUGCGUAGGCGGCUUGACAAGUCUUGUGUGAAAUCUAUGGGCUCAACCCAUAGUCUGCACGGGAAACUGUCGGGCUUGAGAAUGGGAGAGGUGAGUGGAAUUUCCGGUGUAGCGGUGAAAUGCGUAGGUAUCGGAAGGAACACCUGUGGCGAAAGCGGCUCACUGGACCAUUUCUGACGCUGAUGCACGAAAGCUAGGGGAGCAAACAGGAUUAGAUACCCGAGUAGUCCCUGUCUCUUAUAA
This 301-nucleotide ribosomal RNA is filed under the name uncultured bacterium. RNAcentral describes it as "partial 16S ribosomal RNA". It matches the Rfam family "Bacterial small subunit ribosomal RNA", at positions 509 to 809 of the family's 1533-position model. The record is from RNAcentral.